GUUAUGCUCCAUCCGUUGUGAAAUUAACAUCUAUUAUUUUUUAUUGAUUUUUGUUUUCUAAAUUUUUUAGUUCAAUAAACUUGCAUUAUUAGCUCACUGUUAAUAAAAUUAAUUCUCUUUUAAUUCUACUAAAUGUGGAUAAUAUUUCUAUAUAAGACUCACGCACUUGUGGAACAAACUAGACCAUAUUUUUGGAAUUACGACAUUUUUUAUCCCGUUCUACACGAUUAUGAUUAUUCCAGGAAAGAAUGACGUACGAAAAAAAUGGAAGAAGAUUCUUCGUGAAAAUAUUAAAA
RNAcentral lists this long non-coding RNA (296 nucleotides) under Polistes fuscatus (common paper wasp). RNAcentral's name for it is "uncharacterized LOC122521030". The record is from RNAcentral. Lineage: Eukaryota; Metazoa; Arthropoda; Insecta; Hymenoptera; Vespidae.